GGCCAGCACCGGUUGUUGCUUCAUUUUCAGCUCGAGGUCCUAAUCCAGAGUCCCCUGAAAUCGUAAAGCCUGAUGUGAUUGCGCCAGGGUUGAACAUUCUUGCCGCUUGGCCUGAUAAAAUUGGACCCUCUGGAAUUCCCACAGACAAGCGUACUACUGAGUUCAACAUACUUUCUGGCACUUCCAUGGCCUGUCCUCAUGUCUCUGGCUUGGCUGCCCUGCUGAAGGCGGCACACCCUGGAUGGAGUCCAGCAGCUAUAAAAUCAGCCUUGAUGACCACAGCUUAUACUUUGGACAACCGAG
This 303-nucleotide unclassified non-coding RNA is filed under the name Hevea brasiliensis (rubber tree). The record is from RNAcentral. Lineage: Eukaryota; Viridiplantae; Streptophyta; Magnoliopsida; Malpighiales; Euphorbiaceae.